This 450-nucleotide ribosomal RNA is filed under the name Triticum aestivum (bread wheat). RNAcentral describes it as "partial small subunit ribosomal RNA". The record is from RNAcentral. Lineage: Eukaryota; Viridiplantae; Streptophyta; Magnoliopsida; Poales; Poaceae.
AUGCUAUUGCACGAGGUGCACCUAGAUGAGCUCACUGAAGAUGACAUCCUAUGGAAGCACACGGAAUCUGGGCACUACUCCGCGGCCUCCGCUUACAGGGCACAAUUUUUUGGCUUGGUCCUCUCCCCCAUGGACCAAAUGGGUUGGAAGGCAUGGGCCCCAUCGAAAGUCAAGUUCUUUGCUUGGCUCGCGCUUCAGGAUAGGAUCUGGACUGCUGCAGAUUGGAGAAGCGAGGAUGGCCUAACUGUGGCCCUUGCCCCUUGUGCCGACGGGUGCAGGAAUGUGGCCCUCAUCUUUUCUUCAGAUGCCGCUUUACUCUCAGGCUUUGGAACAUGGCUAUUCAGAAAUUUCGCAUCCACGACAUGGACACGUCCACAUGGCACUUGUUCGACUCCGUUCAGGCCUGGUGGGCGAGCACAUGCACCACGGGCACCACCGACAGGAAAGUAA